UACGUAGGGGGCGAGCGUUGUCCGAAGUUACUGGGCGUAAAGCGCGCGUAGGCGGGUUGGCAAGUCUGCUGUGAAAGCCCGGGGCUUAACUCCGGAGGGCCGGUGGAUACUGCCAGUCUUGAAGGUGCUAGGGAGAGAUGGAAUUACCGGUGUAGCGGUGAAAUGCGUAGAUAUCGGUAGGAACACCAGUGGCGAAGGCGGUCUCUUGGGGCAUUCUUGACGCUGAGGCGCGAAAGCUGGGGGAGCGAACGGG
This 253-nucleotide ribosomal RNA is filed under the name uncultured bacterium. RNAcentral describes it as "partial 16S ribosomal RNA". It matches the Rfam family "Bacterial small subunit ribosomal RNA", at positions 524 to 776 of the family's 1533-position model. The record is from RNAcentral.